This 781-nucleotide long non-coding RNA is filed under the name Ictidomys tridecemlineatus (thirteen-lined ground squirrel). Its description in RNAcentral is "lncRNA (ENSSTOG00000029421.1)". The record is from RNAcentral. Lineage: Eukaryota; Metazoa; Chordata; Mammalia; Rodentia; Sciuridae.
GCGGAAGGUCCUGGGGCGCGAGGUGGCCUUGGGCUCUGCGGGCCGCGGCGGCCAGCGCGGUCGGGCCGCGGCGCAGUGGAGGUUCCGAUGUGCGUUCCAGAGGUGGUUAGCCGCCUGCUGAAAGCCGACUUCCCUGAGGGAAUUGGGAGACUACUUUGAGUCAAAUGCAGCUUUCCUGCCACCCGAGGCUCAGCCGUAGUACUGCGCAUCCCAUUCCAACGGUGACUCCCUCUGCUGCACCCAGCCCAGCACGAUGGGGACGGCUCAGGUUCUGCCCGGCAUUCUGCAGAAGCAUUGCUGUGUGCUACCAGACAGGAACACAGAUCUGAUGCCCGUUUGCUGGACGUGCCCACAGGGCGGUCACCACGGCGGGCGGUAAGUGCGCUCUGACCUGCCCCUUCUGACCUCUUGACCACUGGCCAAGCUAGGAAUUUUCCCAGUGAUUUUCUUUUCUGUUUCUUUGCAGGUCAUCGUUGAUUAAGAUAAUUUUUUUUAAUGUGUCACUGCAUGAAUCUCCAUCUCCAUCUCUGGAAAUUGAGUAAAUUCAUAGAAGAAAAGUUGAUUACUGUUUAGAUACUUGUUUUGUCAUUUUGAAUGGGAAAUAUUGAAAACUAAAAUUAAACAUACAUAAAUGCUAUAUCAGACUCAUUUUUAUUCAAGUACAGUACAACAUUCAGUGUUAUAGUCAUUGCUAUUUAUUCUAUGGUUUAGGUAAAAUAUUUGGGAAAAUAACCCCUAAUGUAAUGACAUGCUUUUAUGUGAUAUUAAACAGAUUCCCAAC